AGCAGUAGCCGCGGGAAUACGUAGGGGGCAAGCGUUGUCCGGAAUUAUUGGGCGUAAAGCGCGCGCAGGCGGUUUUUUAAGUCUGGUGUCUAAGUGCGGGGCUCAACCCCGUGACGCACUGGAAACUGGGAGACUUGAGUGCAGAAGAGGAGAGCGGAAUUCCACGUGUAGCGGUGAAAUGCGUAGAGAUGUGGAGGAACACCAGUGGCGAAGGCGGCUCUCUGGACUGUAACUGACGCUGAGGCGCGAAAGCGUGGGGAGCAAACGGGAUUAGAUACCCCCGUAGUCCCUGUCUCUUAUACA
RNAcentral lists this ribosomal RNA (303 nucleotides) under uncultured bacterium. RNAcentral describes it as "partial 16S ribosomal RNA". It matches the Rfam family "Bacterial small subunit ribosomal RNA", at positions 507 to 808 of the family's 1533-position model. The record is from RNAcentral.